UAUUGGACAAUGGGCGAAAGCCUGAUCCAGCAAUGCCGCGUGAGUGAUGAAGGCCUUAGGGUUGUAGAGCUCUUUUACCCGGGAUGAUAAUGACAGUACCGGGAGAAUAAGCUCCGGCUAACUCCGUGCCAGCAGCCGCGGUAAUACGGAGGGAGCUAGCGUUGUUCGGAAUUACUGGGCGUAAAGCGCACGUAGGCGGCUUCGUAAGUUAGAGGUGAAAGCCUGGAGCUCAACUCCAGAAUUGCCUUUGAUACUGCAUCGCUUGAAUCCAGGAGAGGUGAGUGGAAUUCCGAGUGUAGAGGUGAAAUUCGUAGAUAUUCGGAAGAACACCAGUGGCGAAGGCGGCUCACUGGACUGGUAUUGACGCUGAGGUGCGAAA
RNAcentral lists this ribosomal RNA (379 nucleotides) under uncultured bacterium. RNAcentral describes it as "bacterial SSU rRNA". It matches the Rfam family "Bacterial small subunit ribosomal RNA", at positions 362 to 758 of the family's 1533-position model. The record is from RNAcentral.